UGGAGCAUGUGGUUUAAUUCGAUGCAACGCGAAGAACCUUACCUGGGCUUGACAUCCCGGGAAUCCCUUGGAAACAAGGGAGUGCCCUUCGGGGAACCUGGAGACAGGUGCUGCAUGGCUGUCGUCAGCUCGUGUCGUGAGAUGUAGGGUUAAGUCCCGCAACGAGCGCAACCCUUGUCUUUAAUUGCCAUCAUUGAGUUGGGCACUUUAAAGAGACUGCCGGUGUUAAACCGGAGGAAGGUGGGGAUGACGUCAAGUCAGCAUGACCUUUAUAUCCAGGGCUACACACACGCUACAAUGGUCUGUACAAUGGGUAGCCAAGCCGCGAGGCGGAGCCAAUCCUGAAAGCAGGCCUCAGUUCAGAUUGCAGUCUGCAACUCGACUGCAUGAAGCCGGAGUUGCUAGUAACCGCAGGUCAGCAAUACUGCGGUGAAUACGUUCCCGGGUCUU
This 450-nucleotide ribosomal RNA is filed under the name uncultured Syntrophus sp. Its description in RNAcentral is "bacterial SSU rRNA". It matches the Rfam family "Bacterial small subunit ribosomal RNA", at positions 933 to 1382 of the family's 1533-position model. The record is from RNAcentral. Lineage: Bacteria; Pseudomonadati; Thermodesulfobacteriota; Syntrophia; Syntrophales; Syntrophaceae.